CUUCGCCGCUAUUAGAUCACCAUCAAGUCCAAGCGAAAUAUUUUCAGGUCACCAUGAAACUCCCAAGCUUAUACUUACGGCCAUCGCUGCUCAUGGCUUCCUUAGUCAUCCAACUGAUCACGGUGGUGGUGGCCAGUGGUGGCGGCAGCGGUACUACAUCGUCGACGGCGGCGGCGGCGGCGGCUCCAACGAAGAAAUACAAUGCCAUGUUCACCUUCGGUGACUCGAUGGAUGAGACAGGCAACAUAUGCGUUGGCAGCAGCAACAAGACGGAGUUGAACGUGCUCACCUGCACCCACCCGCCGUACGGCGAAACCUACUUCGGAAGGCCGUCUUGCCGGUGGUGUGACGGCCGCGUGGUUGUUGACUUCGUCGGUUGCAAAGGAUACGUGAGGAAAUCGCUCUUCAUGUUCGGUGCAUACGGCGGAAACGACUACAACGUGCAGCUGCUUGAACGUGGUUUGACACCGGAGCAGGCAAUGAACUACACCCCAAAGAUCGUUGGUGCCAUCGCCAACGGCGUGGUGAAACUGAUUGCUCUCGGCGCCGUCCACGUCGUCGUCCCGGGAAUCUUCCCGACCGGCUGCUUGCCGAUCUUCCUGUCCUUGUUCGGCGACGGCGACGCCGACCUGGACGACGCCGGCUGCCUCAAGGCCUACAACCUCCUGACCAAGUACCACAACUCGAUGCUCCGGAAGCAGGUGGAAGCCCUCCAGCGGAGGCACCGCAACUCGACGAGGCUCAUGUACGCGGACUACUACGGCCUCGUGUACCAGAUGGUCCAGGAGCCCCACAAGUUUGGGUUUAGCGCUCCGUUUGAGGCGUGCUGCGGGGCGGGAGGGGGCAAGUACAACUUCGACCUGAGCGCGAGGUGCGGUAUGGACGGGGCCACGGUGGCGUGCCGCGACUCGUCGGCGCGGCUCAGCUGGGACGGCAUCCACCCCACGGAGGCGGCUAACAAGGUGAUCGCCGGGGCACUGCUCAGGGGACCCUACUGCACUCCUCCCAUCCUAUCCUAGGCUAAAAACUCUCGUAAAGCAGCCCUACACCAAAAAAGACCUAUCAUUUAUGUAUGAGUAUGAUGAUGAUAAUCCUAGAACAACAAGGCACCCGGACGGCAUAGGUUGAUUCCUGGCCUCUUGCCCACGUAGUAGUUUACAAAAUGUUGAACCGCUCAAGUAUGUACGUCCAAACUGGAAAAUCUACCCUGCACGGGACCUCCAGUACAUGCGUUCAUUCCGGCGCCGAGAUGCCCGCUCGAAAUGCAGCAGAAAAUAUUCUAAUGCCUCUUCUUAACAAUGGACUCUACAAUACCCAUCUAACUUGUCAGAUAUCCUACAGAAUUCUAUGUCAGCAUUAGCAGGGGAAUAGUACUACGUCAGUCGUGUUCUGCCCAUCCACUAUCCCAUAGAAAACCUAGCAUUUUAUUUGCUCGAGAGAUAUUAAUUCAUUGAUAUCUCUUUUAAAAAACAUUAUUUUAAAAUAUUUCAUAUAUUUGAAUUCCUGCCGACGACAUCAAUAAAACAAGAUCAAUCUUAAAUAUAUUUUAAACAUAUUCCAAUCAUUUUAUAAUAAUGUAUUUCACACAUUUCAAAAAAGAUUUCACUAAUUUCAUAUAAGAUAUUUCACCCAUUUUUAGAAAAUAUUUUUAAACAAGACAUUCCACUAAUUUCGAAAAUAUUUCAUAACAACAUAUUUCACUCGUUUCAUAAUUCUAAGUCGGAAGUUUACAACAAAUCGGAAAGAUUCACUAACCAGCCGAUCCUACAGAAGAAAAUAAAAAGGAUUGGGGAUUCGAACUCUGGUCGCCAAGACUUCUUCUUUAUUACUAUCAACUGAGCUAAUGUUAACUAUUGUGCACAUCAACGCAACUGAACAUUUGAUCCUUCUUUAUUACCGCAUUGGGAAGAGUAAAUUGCACAGAAGUACCACAAUUGGGACAUUGGAAGCAGAUUGGUACCAAGAUUGGUAAUUUUUACGUGUCAGUACCAAGAUUUGGGCUAGCCGUUGCAAAAAAGACUAAAAGCUCAUUUUAUACGUAUUGACACUAAAGCUGACCGAUUGAGCCCGCCCGUCAGGCGCCACGCUGGCCAGUGCGCGCGUCGCCUGCGCUGGCUGUGCGCUGACUCAGACGAGGCCGGCUCGGCCCGUUGGUGCGACCGAGCCAGACCCCGACCCCGACCCCGCUCUGCCAUGUUCCUUUUCCUCGCACCCUCGCCGGCGGCUGCCUCCCCGCCCGCCCCGCCGCCGCCGCACCACGCCGCCGUAGCCAUGGAUCGAACUGCUUAGGCGCUGUCACCUCCCUCCACUCCCCCACGGCCGUUGUGCCCUCCUCUCCCCCGCGGCUGCUGUGCCCUAGGCGACAAUGGCCUCGGCGACUCCGGCAGGCGGCGAUGGCCUGGGCGAUGCGAGCGGCGGCGACCUCCCCCGCUUCGAUGGCAGUGGCGGCUACUCCAGAUCGGAGUACAGUAGCGCGGAGGAAGAUUUUGCGGAGCCGGCCUUGUCGAUGGAGCAGAGGCUGCGGAUGGCGCGAAUUUGGGUGGACAACCCUAGCACCGCCCAUCACUGGACUCAUGGCUUCGGUGGUGUUCUUUUGUAUGAUGACAUUUUGGAUGUUAGGUUCUUUUUUGAUGCUUCAGAAAUGUUAGAGCUGAAGCUCUGCAGUUCAUGUAACAUACCUGAAUAUGAUUGCAGUGAUGGAAACCCAAGGAUUUAGUGAAUAUGAUCUGCUGUUUCACAUUGAGAAUCCAGAUUUAGGGGAGAAAGGAUUGGAGAUGGUAGAGAGUAAUGCUAAGUUGCAACUAGUAAAGAGGCAGGUUGAGGAGUGUAAGGUUUUAAAUUUGCUAGUGAGGGCAUGUCCACCUCCUUGCAGCAAGUUUGAGAGGCAAGAAUUAUCCACUAUUGUGUAUGAAGAGCCUGUGUUAUAUGAUCUCAGUGAGCCACCCAUCUAUGCUGUUGAUGAAGAAGGGAGUUGCCUUUGAAAGUCAGAGUAGCAGCUGCAGUUUAGUAGCUCAUGGUACUGGUGUUUGCACACAAGAGAGCAAGAAUGUAAAAGGAAAACUGAAAGCUGUUUUGGAAAUAGAAGAAGAAGAGGGAUAUGAUGGCAGUGGUGGUUCUGAUUGUGAAGGUGAAGAUGACAGUGAUGUAAACCCUUUUUAUAUGGGUGAUGCUGAUGACAUAGAGAUGGAUGAGGGAAAGAAACAGAGAGAGUAUGAUGAAGUAGAAGAGGAAGAAACAGAUGAUGAAGAAUCUGAGGAGGAAGAAAUGGUGCAUUACUCUGGUGACACAGAGGUUGAGGAACCUUUUGAAAUGGAUGAAGAUGACAAGGUUGUUUCACAGGAUGAAGAAACUGUAAUUGUACAUGAAGAGAAGAAGAAGAAGAAACAGAAGCUUCCAGUUAGGAAAGGGCCUACAACAAGGACACAUUCAAGUGUAGUUCAAGAGGAGGAACCUGAUUUCCAACCUUCAUCUGAUGAAGAAGAGAAAGAAUUGUUGAAGGAGGCUGAUGAUGAUGGUUAUGAGCCAUUGUCAUUUGUGCUGCCAAAGAAAAGGAAGAGCAGGGCAAAGCAGAGGCCUCCUAGAAAAUGGUACAAUGAGAAAAUGGAGGCACCACAUGAGCAAUUAUGUCUACAGAUGUGUUUCAAGGAUCAACAUCAAUUCAGAGAGGCUUUGUUGAACUUACACAUCACUCAAGGCAGAAACUUCAAAUAUCAUAGGAACUCAGAUCAAAGAAUAAUUGUAGAAUGCAACCAAAAACAUUGCAACUUCUUUAUGGUGGCAGCAGUUAUAAAAGGUGAAACUACUUUUGUAAUUAAGAAGAUGAGAAUUAAGCACACUUGCCCUAUUAGUACAGAGACAACAAGGGUAAGUGCCAAGUGGCUUGCACAGAAGUAUGAGUCACUGUUCAGAUCUGAUCUAACAACUGGCAUUCAGACUUUGAUUGAUGCCUGCAUGGAGAAGUAUGGUGUGGAUGUGCCCAAGUCAAUGGCAUAUAGGGCAAAGAACCUAGCUAUUGAUGCUGUGCUAGGAGACCACAAGAAGCAAUACCCUAGGUUGAAAGACUAUGCUCAGACAGUGAUGGAUACAAACCCUGGGAGUAGAGUAGUAGUCACUACUGUAACUCCAACACCCACUGAAAAAAUCCCCCAUCCAGGUCCAAGAUUCCAUGCUAUGUUCUAUUGCAUCAAUGGAGCAAGGGAGGGGUUUCUCGAGGGGUGCAGACCAUUCAUUGGUGUUGAUGGGUGCUUCAUUAAGUUAACUACUGGUGCUCAACUACUUGCUGCCACUGGUAGAGAUGGCAACAACAAUAUAUACCCACUAGCAUUUGGUAUUGUUGGGCAAGAGGACACACCUAACUGGUGUUGGUUUCUACACCAACUUAAAAUCUGCCUAGGAGGAGAAGUGGGAAGGUUUGGUCCAUAUACAAUAAUGUCAGAUAGACAAAAGGGCCUACUAAAUGCAGUGAAUGAUGUCUUUCCUAAGUGCAACCAAAGGUUCUGCCUUAGGCAUAUCUAUGCAAACUUCCAAAAUGCUGGGUUUAGGGGGGAAGAUCUGAAAAAGUGUAUGGAUAAUGCUGCCUAUGCAUAUAGUGAACACAAAUUUAACAUUGCAAUGAAUGACCUUAGAGCUGAGUGUGAGCAAGCUUGGGAGUGGCUUUGUCAAAUACCCAAGAAAACAUGGGCAAGGCAUGCAUUUGACACAAACUGCAAGACUGACCUUGUAGUUAACAAUUUAUCUGAGGUGUUCAACAAGUAUGUCCUAGAUGUUAGGAAGAAACCAAUUAGGACAAUGUGUGAUGGAAUAAAGGAUAAGCAGAUGGUGAGGUGGCAUAGGAAUAGGGAGAGUGGAAAGAAAGCUAGAUGGGACAUAACACCCCAUUAUAGUGAGAAGCUAGAGGUUGAGAAGGAGAGGGCCAAAUAUUGCAAACUAAUUCAAGCUGGUGUGGACUUGUGGCAAGUUACAAGUGGGCAGCAAACCCAUGCUGUUAACUUGCAAAUGCACACAUGUGGGUGCAGAAAAUGGGACCUAAGUGGCAUCCCAUGUAACCAUGCCAUCUCAGCAAUAAACAAGGCCAAAAUAAAACCAGAGGAUUAUGUCAGCAAGUUCUUCAAGAAAGAAAUUUAUCUGGCAGCUUAUGAACCAAUGAUCUAUCCAGUUCCUGGUGAGCAUGACUGGACAAGGACCCCUGGUCCAGACAUUGACCUACCUGCAUUUAAAGUGAAGAGAGGAAGAAAGAAAGAGAAGAGGAUCAAGGGGAAAUUGAAGUUCCAAAGCCUAAGGAGACAUCAAGAAUGGGGACUAUAACAUGUGGCAAUUGUGGACUGCAAGGACAUAGGUACACAAGCUGCAACAAGCAGUUGAAGCCUGAGCUGGCUUUGAGGAAGAACGAACAUGUGCCUCUUGCAAGGAAUUCCAAUGCUGGUGCUGCUGCUACUACACAAGCAUCAAGAACUUCUCAUCCAACUCCUACAACAACACCAACAGCUGGAACAGGAGCAGGGAGAGGAGCUGGGAGAGGAGCUGGGAGAGGAGCUAGGAGAGGGGCUGCAGCUGCAGCUGCUGGGAGUGGUGCUGCUAGAGGUGCUGGUAGAGGUGCUGGUAGAGGUGCUGCACCAGGUGCUGGGAGAGGUGCUGGGAGAGGGAGAGGUACAUUCUCUGCCCCAAGGCAAUCUGGUCCCUCCACAUCUAAUGCUCCCUCUACAUCUACUGCUACUCCACCUUCUGGUGGUAGAAACAGAGGAUGGAGAGCCUACUUCUAUGCAAGUGGUAACCACUAAAUGGCACAUGUGCCAUGUAAUGUUCAAAACUAGAUACUUCAUGUGUGUUCUUGCAUCCUAUGGUACAAUGUGAUCUUGCUGGUGCUCUCAGUGUACUUUGCUGGUGCUCUUAUUGUACUUUGCUGGUGUACUUUAAGAAUCAAUGCCAUAUAUGGCUUUUGUUCAUGUGGAUGGAUGGAUUUAUUUAUUAGUUAAUGCCAUUUCUGGAGCUGGCUUUUGUUCAUGUGGAUGGAUGUGAUCUUGCUAUUUAUUAGUUAAUCAA
This is an RNA transcript of Triticum aestivum (bread wheat), 6039 nucleotides long. It is a transcript of the gene named GDSL esterase/lipase At1g28600, with no coding region annotated. The transcript is spliced from 8 exons. The record is from RefSeq and is a predicted model, not a curated record. Lineage: Eukaryota; Viridiplantae; Streptophyta; Magnoliopsida; Poales; Poaceae.